Molecule: ribosomal RNA, 429 nt
Filed under: Acidobacteriota bacterium
Lineage: Bacteria; Pseudomonadati; Acidobacteriota
Description: Acidobacteria bacterium partial 16S ribosomal RNA
Rfam family: Bacterial small subunit ribosomal RNA
Source: RNAcentral
UGGGGAAUUUUGGACAAUGGGGGAAACCCUGAUCCAGCCAUCCCGCGUGUGCGAUGAAGGCCUUCGGGUUGUAAAGCACUUUUGGCAGGAAAGAAACGUCAUGGGUUAAUACCCCGUGAAACUGACGGUACCUGCAGAAUAAGCACCGGCUAACUACGUGCCAGCAGCCGCGGUAAUACGUAGGGUGCAAGCGUUAAUCGGACUUACUGGGCGUAAAGCGUGCGCAGGCGGUUCGGAAAGAAAGAUGUGAAAUCCCAGAGCUCAACUUUGGAACUGCAUUUUUAACUACCGGGCUAGAGUGUGUCAGAGGGAGGUGGAAUUCCGCGUGUAGCAGUGAAAUGCGUAGAUAUGCGGAGGAACACCGAUGGCGAAGGCAGCCUCCUGGGAUAACACUGACGCUCAUGCACGAAAGCGUGGGGAGCAAACAGG